GACGAACCGUGCGAACGUUGUUCGGAAUCACUGGGCUUAAAGGGCGCGUAGGCGGGUGGCCAAGUCAGGGGGGAAAUCCGGCAGCUUAACUGUCGAACAGCUUCUGAUACUGGCCGUCUUGAGGGGGGUAGGGGCAUGUGGAACUUCCGGUGGAGCGGUGAAAUGCGUAGAUAUGACAUAGAACACCAAUUGCGAAGGCAGCUGGCUACACAAAUAUUGACACUGAGGCACGAAAGCGUGGGGAUCAAACAGG
This 253-nucleotide ribosomal RNA is filed under the name uncultured bacterium. RNAcentral's name for it is "partial 16S ribosomal RNA". It matches the Rfam family "Bacterial small subunit ribosomal RNA", at positions 524 to 776 of the family's 1533-position model. The record is from RNAcentral.